Molecule: non-coding RNA, 386 nt
Organism: Pelobates cultripes (western spadefoot toad)
Lineage: Eukaryota; Metazoa; Chordata; Amphibia; Anura; Pelobatidae
Source: the annotation of a GenBank genome assembly
CGGCUAUAUGGGAGCUAAUAAUGACAUAGAUUUACUGUAUAAGUGAAUCUGAGUUCAUAUACCGGGUCAAAAUUUACUGCUACGCCAGAAUAAUAUGAGAUGGGAAAUGGAAAUCUAUUUGUUCAGAUAAUGCACCUAUUUAAUUGACUGUAGAUCUGAGCUCAAAUUAGUUUUUUAGCUUAUAAUACUGACACACACAAUGAAUGUUCAGACAAAGACUCUUUAAAAUAAAAUUACACCAAAAUACUUCGUGUCCUAGUUAGUUUAGCAUACGGAUACAUUUAAGUUUAUGUGCACAGUUAAAAUCUUUAGGGCGUCAUUAAUGACAUCAUCAAAAAGGUUACUGGUAGCUGCCUCUUCUUUUAUUUUUUUUAUUUGAUAUGAAU